GAUGAAGAACGUAGCGAAAUGCGAUAAGUAAUGUGAAUUGCAGAAUUCAGUGAAUCAUCGAAUCUUUGAACGCACAUUGCGCCCUUCGGUAUUCCGUUGGGCAUGCCUGUUCGAGCGUCAUUUAAACCUUCAAGCUAUGCUUGGUGUUGGGUGUUUGUUCCGCCUCAGCGCGUGGACUCGCCUCAAAUUCAUUGGCAGCCGGUAUGUUGGCUUCGUGCGCAGCACAUUGCAAGCGAAUUUAGCAGACCCCCUUCCACAAGCCUUUUUUUACUUUGACCUCGGAUCAGGUAGGGAUACCCGCUGAACUUAAGCAUAUCAAUAAGCGGAGGA
This 330-nucleotide unclassified non-coding RNA is filed under the name soil metagenome. RNAcentral describes it as "partial contains 5.8S ribosomal RNA, internal transcribed spacer 2, and large subunit ribosomal RNA". The stretch from base 1 to 120 matches the Rfam family "5.8S ribosomal RNA", at positions 35 to 154 of the family's 154-position model. The record is from RNAcentral.